GGUUCCAUGAUGUAGUGGUUAGCACUCUGGACUUUGAAUCGUUGAACCUGGGUUCAACUCCUGGUGGGACCU
This 72-nucleotide transfer RNA is filed under the name Ipomoea nil (Japanese morning glory). It matches the Rfam family "tRNA". Rfam says of the family: Transfer RNA (tRNA) molecules are approximately 80 nucleotides in length. Their secondary structure includes four short double-helical elements and three loops (D, anti-codon, and T loops). The record is from Rfam by way of RNAcentral. Lineage: Eukaryota; Viridiplantae; Streptophyta; Magnoliopsida; Solanales; Convolvulaceae.